UUGCACCUGAUGGCGAGUGGCGAGCGGGUGAGGUAAUGCAUCGGAACGUGCCCAAUCGUAGGGGGAUAACGCAGCGAAAGCUGUGCUAAUACCGCAUACGAUCUACGGAUGAAAAGCGGGGGACCUUUCGGGCCUCGCGCGAUUGGAGCGGCCGAUGUUAGAUUAGGUAGUUGGUGGGGUAAAGGCUCACCAAGCCGACGAUCUAUAGCUGGUCUGAGAGGACGACCAGCCACACUGGAACUGAGACACGGUCCAGACUCC
This 261-nucleotide ribosomal RNA is filed under the name unidentified marine bacterioplankton. RNAcentral's name for it is "partial 16S ribosomal RNA". It matches the Rfam family "Bacterial small subunit ribosomal RNA", at positions 79 to 339 of the family's 1533-position model. The record is from RNAcentral.